Molecule: ribosomal RNA, 253 nt
Filed under: uncultured bacterium
Lineage: Bacteria
Description: partial 16S ribosomal RNA
Rfam family: Bacterial small subunit ribosomal RNA
Source: RNAcentral
UACAGAGGUCUCAAGCGUUGUUCGGAUUCAUUGGGCGUAAAGGGUGUGUAGGUGGCGCGCUAAGUCGGGUGUGAAAUUUCGGAGCUUAACUCCGAAACUGCAUUCGAUACUGGCGUGCUUGAGGACUGGAGAGGAGACUGGAAUUCAUGGUGUAGCAGUGAAAUGCGUAGAGAUCAUGAGGAAGACCAGUGGCGAAGGCGGUCUGCUGGGCAGUUUCUGACACUGAUGCGCGACAGCGUGGGGAGCAAACGGG